This 468-nucleotide ribosomal RNA is filed under the name uncultured bacterium. Its description in RNAcentral is "partial 16S ribosomal RNA". It matches the Rfam family "Bacterial small subunit ribosomal RNA", at positions 28 to 507 of the family's 1533-position model. The record is from RNAcentral.
GACGAACGCUGGCGGCGUGCUUAACACAUGCCAGUCGAACGGAAAGGCCCUGCUUUUGUGGGGUGCUCGAGUGGCGAACGGGUGAGUAACACGUGAGUAACCUGCCCUUGACUUUGGGAUAACUUCAGGAAACUGGGGCUAAUACCGGAUAGGAGCUCCUGCUGCAUGGUGGGGGUUGGAAAGUUUCGGCGGUUGGGGAUGGACUCGCGGCUUAUCAGCUUGUUGGUGGGGUAGUGGCUUACCAAGGCUUUGACGGGUAGCCGGCCUGAGAGGGUGACCGGCCACAUUGGGACUGCGAUACGGCCCAGACUCCUACGGGAGGCAGCAGUGGGGAAUAUUGCACAAUGGGCGGAAGCCUGAUGCAGCAACGCCGCGUGCGGGAUGACGGCCUUCGGGUUGUAAACCGCUUUCGCCUGUGACGAAGCGUGAGUGACGGUAAUGGGUAAAGAAGCACCGGCUAACUACGUG